Molecule: long non-coding RNA, 3232 nt
Organism: Esox lucius (northern pike)
Lineage: Eukaryota; Metazoa; Chordata; Actinopteri; Esociformes; Esocidae
Source: Ensembl
AAAAUGUGUAAAAAGUUUUUUUUUUUCUCUUAAAAAUUAUUUGCUAAUGCCUGAUGGCUUAAAGACAUGCAGAUGGUUAACUUACAAAUAAUGAUACAUGUUUUUAAAAACUACACUUAACUUCAUUACUUAAGUCGGGUAACUUUUUGAAAACGAGAUCCCAUUGAUUGUAUUCAGGGUAUAUACAUACAAAUCAGGCCUGAAACCUUGUUUGCUGACGUAACAUUUUGGUUCUGCGUACAAAAAGAAUUAAAGCAAAAUAGGGUGGCAGACUUCCCGAGGAAGCAACUUUCCGAGGUGGGUUUGGCUCCCCCUGUGUCCGCCACCAACACAAAAAUGUGUGUCACAAAAAGAGCCUCGAUAAACCCUGUUUUCAAACCUUAAGAGGGGACGUGGGGUAGGGGUUAAGAUCAGCAACAAAUAAAAAUUCAGCAGUCAAUAUGAGAAUAUUCUGUACCGUUUAACUGUUAAUGCUACUGUACAUGACCAUAACACACUGGCCGAUAUGCGAGAGGUCUCCUGGUGCAAUAACCCGAAAAGAUUCUACACCAGAACCACCUGGAAAAUUCAAUUCUUGACAUUUUAGUGACUGAGAUGUCAUGGGCAGUUCUGAAAAGGGGCCAUUAAGAUUGGCCUUCUUUACCACUAAAAUCAACCACGACAGUCGUAGUUUCUGUUCAAGACGCAGUCAAAUCCUUCUCUGCACCCGACGGGACUCUGUGGAUGACCCACGAGGGACAGGCUGCCCGUUCACACAGAACACUCCCCUGUUCAGGGGGAGAGAGGGCAGAAUUGGGGUUGCCAGUAAUAGUUAACUCCUCCUUAAGGAGGAGCAGAAAGGGACGCUGUGUCCCUGUGCUGCCGUACAUGGCUAUUCCUAUUGUCUAAUAACAGUGUGUCAGUAGCGUGUUGCACCAAAGCACCAUUAGUCUUCAGUGAAAUGUGACUCAGUCACUCAGCUACUGGCUCCAGUCCAAAUCAGUGGACGUGGAGGUGGGUCUUUUCAAUUGGGAAAAUUGCUGUGUAGCUAAACUAAGGGGCAUUUAUUAGAAUACAGACGUGAAGCUACGGCCCCAUUCACUGGACUUGCUAUUAUAUAGUCAGGCAUCUUAAAGAGACACAAACAAUUUAAAAAGCAGCCUAGUGGGACUCUUGAGCGAGCAAUUGUACUUGAGCUCUGUAGCAAUGCAACGUGUUUGUUAAUUGUCUUUAAACUCAUCCAUUGCUCCUCCCUGGGUAGUUAGUGACCUCAAGACAAGAUCAACGGAUAGUGUGCAGGUAGGGAGGCUACAUGUCAAAUAAAGUAACAGAGCAUUCUGUUGAUCCAAUGACAGGCCAUUGACAUGACUGAGGACUGAACCUUGGGUUCACAAGUGUUCUAUAGAUGGAGACAGAAAAGAACAAGCAACAUUCUAGAGCUGUUGGGAUUUUAACACAGAGUGUCUGGAAGCCCUGGAUGAACUAGCUACUAGCUGCCAUAUUGGAUACGUUGAUUAUUCUCGCUGUUGUGACAGGUGAGAAGGUUAACACCUGAAAAUGUAAAGUGUGCAGUCGUAGGAAGCCCUUUUUUAUUUCAUUUUUUUGUUGAUUUUGUUUGGUUAUCAUGGCUUGUCUCAUUUUAUGAGUAGAUCCGCAUGUACGUUCAAAGGGCUACAAAUAACAACCGUGUACAGUCACACUAAAAGAGCAGGUCCACGUCAUACUUCAGAACAGAGAGGGGCGGGCGAUGUCAACAUACAUACAGGAAGAUACAUCUCGCAGGAUGACUCUGCCACUGGGACCAGGUGAAGCAUAUGGGAGUGGGAGACAAAGAGCAUUGCUGGGGAGUUGAGGUGGGGUGCAAAAGACCAAAAAUCACCCAAUUGAGGACCCCAAGGAGAUUCGGGGAGGGGUCUAAUAACAUUACAAUGUGUCGCUCAAGGUUUGCAGUGCACGAAAAUAGCUCAUUCUGAUGCCCCUAAUACUGAGGGCAGGCCACCUCCUCUCAACUAAAACCCCUAUUGGACGAGACAUUUCUCUGUGUGACAUCACCAAGACCUGUUGUAUCCUGUUGGACGAUAAUGAGGUUCAGAGAGAGGGGGAGGGGUCAAGGGUAACCUGGGCCACAUACUUUACAGUAAAAAAAAACAACAAAGAUUGAAAAAAUAAAUUAGCUCUCAAACGCCAACUGUAACAGCAACAGGAUCUGAGUGGACAAGGUUAUAAUGUCAAGGUGUCUACACCUGAGCUCUAUAGGGGAAAGAGAGGAGGAAAUGGGCCCAAACCAGACAAGUUUGUUUCAAUGACACAUUCAAGUGUCAGCUGAGACUUGGACAUUGAAUUAGACAGUAUAUUAUAAUACAAGGCUCAGCUCCUAACCAGAAACAAGAGAAAAAGCCCAACUCUGGACAGGAAUUAUGGAAGGAGAAAUUUGGGGUAAAGCAAAAUGGGAGAUGAGUUCAGAGAAAAACAGACCAAUGGGGACUGAGUAACUGACCUCAGAUCAGUUCAGAUAUUCCUUAAAUAACUAAACACUAUUCUAUUAUUCCUAUACCGUCGUUAAAACCACGACAUUGGAUAUCAGUUUUUGAACUGUAUAAAUAUCUUAAGUAAGUGUUUCAGUUUCCAUUCAUAACAUCUAAGAGAGGUCACUCAGGCUUGUUUUGGUCUGAUAGGUGUCCGUUUCUGUGCCUGUUUAAAAGUCAGUUCCAGGCUCAGUACCACAAUAUCAAAGCCUUUCGUUAACAUCACUACACUACAGUGAGAGAGAUAGAGGGGGAAAAAAGCAAAGAAAAGCUAAGUUGCUGUGGAUUAAACGUUUUCAGGAGCUCCCUAAAGCUUGUACAUAUGCAGAUCAUGUUCAACAGUGCAAGCCACAGGACCAACUACACAGGUAGGCUAUGCCAAUUCGUACAUCAUCUGACAUCAUUUUCAUUAAUUUCAGAUCAUUUCAAACAACCGUGUAGGCUACUUUUAAACAACACUUAACUAAAGAUGAUCUCAAUGCAUUUUCCCAUUAUUCCAAAACUAUCUUGGCAGAAUGAUGCUGCACGGGUAGGACUUAGGUUCAGUUAAGCCUAUUGAAAACACUGAUCAUUAUGUGAUCUGUAUUCUGUUCCCUAGGGAUAGGCUACAGCAGACAUUGUACGUAGAGAAAAAAACAUGUGCAGAACGUGAUCCGCGCACACACAAGCUUUGGAAAACUCCAGGUAUUUAGGUCUGAAGAUAUCGACAAAGUCGUAUCAUAAUCCAC